GGCUACCACAUCCAAGGAAGGCAGCAGGCGCGCAAAUUACCCACUCCCGGCACGGGGAGGUAGUGACGAAAAAUAACGAUACGGGACUCAUCCGAGGCCCCGUAAUCGGAAUGAGUACACUCUAAACCCUUUAACGAGGAUCAAUUGGAGGGCAAGUCUGGUGCCAGCAGCCGCGGUAAUUCCAGCUCCAAUAGCGUAUAUUAAAGUUGUUGCGGUUAAAAAGCUCGUAGUCGAAUCUGUGUCUUGUGCCGCCGGUGCAUCGCUCGCGGUGUUUAACUGGCGUGUCCGCGAGACGUCCUGCCGGUGGGCUUAGCCUGGCAACGGGCGGCCCAACUUGAAAUCCCACCGCGGUGCUCUUGAUUGAGUGUCGAGGUGGGCCGGCACGUUUACUUUGAACAAAUUAGAGUGCUUAAAGCAGGCUAAAACUUCGCCUGAAUACUGUGUGCAUGGAAUAAUGGAAUAGGACCUCGGUUCUAUUUUGUUGGUUUUCGGAACCCCGAGGUAAUGAUUAAUAGGAACGGAUGGGGGCAUUCGUAUUGCGACGUUAGAGGUGAAAUUCUUGGAUCGUCGCAAGACGGACAGAAGCGAAAGCAUUUGCCAAAAACGCUUUCAUUGAUCAAGAACGAAAGUUAGAGGUUCGAAGGCGAUCAGAUACCGCCCUAGUUCUAACCAUAAACGAUGCCAGCUAGCGAUCCGCCGACGUUCCUCCGAUGACUCGGCGGGCAGCUUCCGGGAAACCAAAGCUUUUGGGUUCCGGGGGAAGUAUG
Molecule: ribosomal RNA, 767 nt
Filed under: Berosus ornaticollis
Lineage: Eukaryota; Metazoa; Arthropoda; Insecta; Coleoptera; Hydrophilidae
Description: SSU rRNA
Rfam family: Eukaryotic small subunit ribosomal RNA
Source: RNAcentral